CACCAUUCAUUCUCCUACGCCAAUUUUUAGCCAAAUGAAAGAAUAGAGGGAGAGAGAAAAAAAAAGAGAAAGAAGAAGAAGGAGAAUGAGAAAUUAAAAAGGUAUUUUUUUUCUUUCUUUGAUCUAUUAUUAGAUUAUGGAUUUUAUGAGUACAUAUUUAUGUAUGUGCUUAUUGAGAUGAUUUUAACUUGCAUAAACAUGAAUCAAAUGAGAGAAAUCUAGAAAUCAAAUGAAGAACAAAAUCUGGAAAUUUUCAUAAAAAUUAGUUUACUACUUGAUUUUGUAAAAUCCAUAACUCUUUCUGUAUAAUGAGUUAGGAGACGAGCCAUAUAUCAAAAGAAAGUCCUGGAAGUAAGAUAACCGUACAAACUGGAAUCACCCAAAAAUUCUUUGUAGAUUUUUCGUGGUGACAGUUUGAGUGAAACUUGUCCAGAGGACUCGUAGUCCGAAAAAUAAGUGUUCUUAAGCCUUAUUGCGUGAGUUAUAAUUUUUAAUCCGACCGUUGGAUCGUUGUAAUUUUCAGAUAUGUUAUACAUAUAUAAGUUGAGUAUAUGUCCACAAAUUUUGAACCGUUAAAGAUUAACGUAAGAUUUGUUAUGAAUUUAAGGAGGUGACUGAUCCAGAAAUUUUGAUACGCCUUUCUCUCUAUGUUUGAGUCAGAAUUUGGCAAAAAUUUCUUCUACAAAGUUGUAGAGAAUUAAAUUUUACAUGGAAAGAACAUAAGACCUGUAUUUUUCUGAUAAAAAGCUAAUUAUUAUGAAUUAAUGAAAUUUUUGAAUAUUGGAGUUUAUGAUUAAUUUAUCAGAAAAAUUAUUUGGGUUGAAAUAUUUUUACAGAAUGCUUAGAAUACCAUCUUAGAAUUUUUGUAAAAUUUUGAUGAAUUAUUGAAAAGAAAAAGUAAUUAUUGUAUUUUUAAACUAUUUAUAGUUAGUUUGAAAAUAGAAGAAAUUCAUAGAAAAUUCUAUGAAUGAUGAAAAAUUAUGAAACUUGGUGAAAAAUGGUAUAAUAUUGUUUUAUAAUUUUUGGACAGUUUUGGAAAUUUUUUGAAUAACAGAAAUAUUUAUUAUAUUUUUAAGCUAUUUAUGGUUAGUUUAAAAAUAGAGAAAAUUCAUAGGAAAUUCUAUGAAUGGUGAAAAAUUAUGAAUUUUGCUGAAAAAAUAUUAUACUAAUAGAUUAAUAUUGAUGAUGUUUUAAUGAUAUAAAAGUAUGUGAAGUUAGUAUUUCUAUUUUGAAGCUAUUAAAUGAUAGUUUUUAUAAAUAGAAAUAAUUAUAGAAAAUUGUUGGAUAAUCUGAAAAAUAUGAAAAUUAUUUGGAAAGUUCAGAAUCAUAUUUUUAAAUAUUUUAGAAGUAUUAGUAAGCUCAUGAGGUGUGGGAAUGUAAAUGCACUAGUAACGAAUGAUUUACGAUAAAAACAAAAAUAAUAUUUUUGUUAAAGUAAAAAUUCUGAUAAUAUCAGAAUAAUGGAUUGUCAUAUAUGAGGUUUUAUAUUUCUCAAGUUUUAUUAUUCACUUUUAAAGUUUUGGAAUAUGAAUAAUGACUUUAUGUGAUAAAUAAAGACAACUUGAUUGAAUAAUGAAUUGUUAGUUGGUUUAUAUGUUAUUCGAGGUAAAUAUGAAUUGGUGUUGAUCCCUACUUUUAAUAGAAUUUAAAUUGUUUAUAGUAAGGUAUUGAUUUGAUUCUUACGUAAGAAGUCACUAUGUAUUUCAUUAAAUAAUUGUCACAGUAGUUAUUGCACAGUGAUUCAUAUUAUUGAUUCUUACUCAGUCUUUCAAUCAAUAAUUGUCACAGUAGUUAUUGCACAGUGACUCAUAUUAUUUGAUAUGAUAUAAUUAAACCAGUUGGCAGUAUUGUGAGUCUAUGUUAAUAAUUAUGAAUAAUUGUUAAAAGAUUGAAGAUGUGUAAAUAAUUGAUGAAUAAAAGGUGUUGAUUAAAGAUAAGUAUGAUAUACAGAUGUUUGUUCAAUUAUUUUCUUUUUACAAAAGUAAGUUUGGCAGGACUUGCCGACACUCUACUUUUCCUAAAGUAGUAUGGACCACAACUCUAUUAUUGAACAAAUAUUGUUAAAACGUGUACAAGUUGGUUUAAUUUUCUCCGUGGGACCAUAAAUUCCACUACCAUUAUUAUAUACCUCAUUUGAUUAUUUUGUCAAAACAACUGGUUGUUUACUAAAUUUUUAGUAUAAAUAGGUUGUCCGGUUGAGCAACUAAACAGACACCAUCACUACACAAAAAAUAUAGAAUUCUUUUACUACAAUAUUGUGAGUAUUUCUAUUGAGUGUAAUGUUACUCCAAGUGUAGCUAAGGAAUGCAAGCAUUGUUUAAGUUGAUCAAUUUCACAGAAAGCAGAAUCAAGUCACAUGCUAAGGUAAGGGAUAUCAUUAUUGUGGUAAGGGGGUAUCAUUUUUAUGGUAAAAAGAAUAUCAUUUUCUUUCAUACUCCAUAUUAUGGUAAGAUAUUAUUAUUCGUUUAUUCAAUUUAUCAUUAAAUGGUGAAAAGUCCUGAAAGGAUUAGAAUAUCCUUAAUAGUUUGUGCUUCAUCUAUUAUUAUGUUAUCAAUUUGGACUCUGGAUAAUUAAGUUGAAAAUCACUAAGAUCUAUGUUAUCUUAUUAUUCUGAUGAUUUAUGUUUAUUCAUUAUAUAUAUCAUUGUCAUUAUUCUCAUGCAUAUAUUGUGUUGAAAGUCAUCUAUGGCCAGUAGUGCAUAGAUGGACUUGUUAUGAUUAUGACGAGGGAUUAUUCGGUAUAAUCAUGACCGUAAUGUUACAAAUGAUGUGGUAAAAGUCAUCUUUGGCCCGUAGUGCAAAGAUGGAUUGUUGAUUAUUAGUUUUACAAUUGUAUAUCUUUGGCAUGUAGUGCAAAGAUGGACUGUUGAUUAUUGGUUUUACAGUUGUAUAUCUUUGGCCUGUAGUGUAAAGAUAGACUGUUGAUUAUUAGUUUUACAGUUGUAUAUCUUUGGUCUGUAGUGCAAAAAUGGACUGUUGAUUAUUGGUUUUACAGUUGUAUAUCUUUGGCCUGUAGUGUAAAAAUAGACUGUUGGUUAUUGGUUUUACAGUUGUAUAUCUUUGGCAUGUAGUGCAAAGUUGGACUGUUGAUUUACUUGAUUAUAAAUAUGAAUUGUGAUUUAAUUAUAAUCUGUGGUGGUUCAGGUGAAGACAUGUGAUGAGAGUUCUCUUUGUCUUGGGUAUAACCAAGAACUGUUGAUGAGUAUUACAGGAAUGAAAUAUUAACGAUGGACUUUUAAUCUAGAGGAGAUAGUAGACAUUAUGUUCUACUUGAUUCUUCUAAUGGAUUGUUGAUUUCGCUGCUAUUAUGGUUGAAAACUUUUAUCUUCUACCAUAUGUUCUAAAUAUCUGAAUUAUUUUGAUAAUUUAAUUAUCUUAAGUCAUGAUAUUCUUUACUGGGCUAUUUGUGCUCACCCUUUUACUUCACCACCCCUUUCAGGAAAUAAAAGUGUAGCUGGGACUAGCAGAGAUGACGUGGGUAUACAGUGGAGUUUUAAAUUAGUCGAAAUCUUAAUCAAAUUAUGAAACGGUGGGGCAUAAUAAUUGUACAUAGACUUUAAAAAUGUGCGUGACAUAUUUUAUACAUCAUUUAAUAUUUAUAUUUGGUGAAUUAAAUAGGGUGAUGCAAAAUAGAUUUUGGAAGCGUCAAAAUGCACUCCAUUAGAAUAAGAAGGACAAAAAUCUUCUCGUAUUUCUUUGGAGACUUGAAAUAUUUGCUGCUGUACUUUAUAUGGCAUUGUAAUAAUUUGAGUAUGAAUAUUGUCGUAUUUUAUACGUUACAAUAUUUGUAUUAAAACUCACAGUAUAUGUGUCGUCGUAUUUUGCACGACAGUUGUAUAAAUGAAGUUGUCAGUAGUGUAUUUUCUGGCGACCCAAGAUGGGAGGCGUAUAACUAUUUGGGGCGUCACAGCCGCCGUCCG
Molecule: long non-coding RNA, 3919 nt
Filed under: Panax ginseng (ginseng)
Lineage: Eukaryota; Viridiplantae; Streptophyta; Magnoliopsida; Apiales; Araliaceae
Description: long non-coding RNA (PGIN_LNC007601)
Source: RNAcentral